GCUGGGUGUGGUGGCGCAUGCCUGUAAUUCCAGCAGCUCAGAAGGCUGAGGCAGGAGGAUCACCAGCCUCAGCGACAGCGAGGCACUAAGCAACUCAGGGAGACCCUGUCUCUA
RNAcentral lists this small RNA (114 nucleotides) under Marmota monax (woodchuck). The record is from RNAcentral. Lineage: Eukaryota; Metazoa; Chordata; Mammalia; Rodentia; Sciuridae.